AGGCAGGCUUUUAUUACAAAUGUUUAUACAAAUUUUAAGUAACAGCAAGAGCAAAAAUGAACAAUAGCCAAGCAUUAUUUCAUAAGAUAUAUUUAUUUGCACACUCCUCUCUUCUCUCUCACAUGGAAACAUUUAAAUCUUAGCACCAUGAGGUGAUUGGUCAAAAUGAAUUUCAUUUCAUCACGGGAACUUACUCAUGCAAAAGAGAUAUACUACUCUGUACAGAAGACUUGUAUUGGUGCAGGUACAGAGUACAGAGUAUACCAGAAGUAUGUGUGUAUUUACUCCUGUCAGUUGUAAUCAGUACUCAUAGGGAUAUAUCGUAGUGUUAGUCUCACAUAAACAUUUGUGAUGUACAUUUACAACAAAAUCUGAUGGCUACUAACAAUCCAUAAUAAGGGAUAGACGAAUGAAUAUAAGGUUACAAUUUUUGUUUUAGUCUGUAAUAUAAUGCUAUUUAAUAAUUUUGAUGCUUAAUAAAAAAAAAUCCAAUUUCCAAUCAUCUAUACAAUUUACAAUUUUAACAAAUUAUCCACAUAAUAAAACAAGCAUUACAGAACAAUAUAAACAGACAUGUUAAUCUAUUUUCAAAAUUUUCUGGGACAUAAUUAUUUUCAAUAAUUCACAGGACUACCUCUUUUCAACCCACUUGAAUGCUAGAAAAUACACAAAUUUCAGUUCACUCUAGCAAUAUAAAAAUUUGUACAAAAUUCAUAAAUUCUAAAGGCAGCAAUUAUAAGAUAAUUUUCAGGUGCUUAUAAACUGAAUUAUGGUCCCAGCAUAUCCUGAGAAAAACACCUCUGCAGACCCAUUCUCUGCUUGGAUUUUCCUCCAUCCCAACCAGUGCCCCAUGACUGAUAUAUUAAAGACCAUGAAAUGUGCUAUCCUGUCUGUGGGAAAGUGCAUUUAUUAAAGAUCCCUUGUUACUAAUGGGAAAAUGUAGCAGGUUUCCUAUAAGACUACUUGUGAGAAUUACCAAAUGUUAGACAUGCAACAGCCGAUGAUUAAUAAAUCAAUGUGCUCUGGUUGAAGAAAACACUCUCUUAAUUUCACUCUGGCUUGGAACUGCAUGGUACUGAGCUAUGAAGCCAGGACCUAGAUACUAGGCCUCAAAGCUGAUGGUUUGCUACUGUUUCACAAAGGCUUGCUAAACCAAACUGAAAUGUUCAGACUAAGCAUGAGUUGGAUUUUGAAAUAAGAUACGCUUACAGGACUCUAUAUAAUAGAAAUAAUUGUUUAUCAUCCCAAAAGGAAAAGUACAAUAUAAACAAUGGAGUUUCAUAUCUGCAUGAACAAAAGUAAAAAGGCAAAGCUGAAAUUGUGAACAGCAUUUUUUAUGGCAUCUUAACAAUAAAUUAACAACUGAAAAAAGAAAAAUAGAUAUCGGUCAUUAAAACAAUCUGUAUUAAGCACUUUCUUUCUUAAGUAAUUAAACACUAUGAAUACAAGGUAUCGGAAGUAAUUAAACACUAUGAAUACAAGGUAUCGGAAGUAAUUAAACACUAUGAAUACAAGGUAUCGGAAGUAAUUAAACACUAUGAAUACAAGGUAUCGGAAGGAUCUGUCCUGAAGCAAAUAGAGUCCUUGCCCUAAAAAAUGCAGGUAAGUACUUUACCAUUGUGAUACAUCCCACCAUUGCAGCCAAGUUGGGUUGCCCAGUAUGUAUGUUCUAGCUUCCAAACAAGUUGAAACUACAGUCCCAGAAAGUAUAAUAACACAUGGGAUAAUGUCUACAAACAGCAUAAUAACAAUGUGACCAACAACAGCAGUACGUCAUCAUGUGGAAGACCAAAUAGCAGUCUCUAUCAUUACGGAGCUGAUUAACAAGAUACUUUCAUCAUUAUAAUACAAGUUCAACAAAUCAUUAUGCAACAAAGCUGCCUUUUUACAAACAAAGCUUUAAAACACUUCUCAUUCCUACAAGC
Gigantopelta aegis is the source of this 1925-nucleotide long non-coding RNA. RefSeq lists it as uncharacterized. NCBI's taxonomy places the organism in Eukaryota, Metazoa, Mollusca, Gastropoda, Neomphalida, Peltospiridae. The transcript has 2 exons. The record is from RefSeq and is a predicted model, not a curated record.